This 426-nucleotide ribosomal RNA is filed under the name uncultured bacterium. Its description in RNAcentral is "partial 16S ribosomal RNA". It matches the Rfam family "Bacterial small subunit ribosomal RNA", at positions 355 to 774 of the family's 1533-position model. The record is from RNAcentral.
UGGGGAAUAUUGCACAAUGGGCGCAAGCCUGAUGCAGCCAUGCCGCGUGUGUGAAGAAGGCCUUCGGGUUGUAAAGCACUUUCAGCGAGGAGGAAGGUGGUGAGCUUAAUACGCUCAUCAAUUGACGUUACUCGCAGAAGAAGCACCGGCUAACUCCGUGCCAGCAGCCGCGGUAAUACGGAGGGUGCAAGCGUUAAUCGGAAUACUGGGCGUAAAGCGCAGCAGGGCGGUUUGUUAAGUCAGAUGUGAAAUCCCCGGGCUCAACCUGGGAACUGCAUUUGAAACUGGCAAGCUAGAGUCUCGUAGAGGGGGGUAGAAUUCCAGGUGUAGCGGUGAAAUGCGUAGAGAUCUGGAGGAAUACCGGUGGCGAAGGCGGCCCCCUGGANGAAGACUGACGCUCAGGUGCGAAAGCGUGGGGAGCAAACA